Molecule: ribosomal RNA, 590 nt
Filed under: uncultured bacterium
Lineage: Bacteria
Description: bacterial SSU rRNA
Rfam family: Bacterial small subunit ribosomal RNA
Source: RNAcentral
UCCAGUCAUGCCGCGUGAGUGAAGAAGGCCUUCGGGUUGUAAAGCUCUUUCGGCCGGGACGAAAUCGCAUCUCCUAACACGGGGUGUGGAUGACGGUACCGGAAGAAGAAGCACCGGCUAACUACGUGCCAGCAGCCGCGGUAAUACGUAGGGUGCGAGCGUUAAUCGGAAUUACUGGGCGUAAAGCGUGCGCAGGCGGUUGUACAAGACAGGCGUGAAAUCCCCGGGCUUAACCUGGGAAUGGCGCCUGUGACUGUACGGCUAGAGUGUGUCAGAGGGGGGUAGAAUUCCACGUGUAGCAGUGAAAUGCGUAGAUAUGUGGAGGAAUACCAAUGGCGAAGGCAGCCCCCUGGGAUAACACUGACGCUCAUGCACGAAAGCGUGGGGAGCAAACAGGAUUAGAUACCCUGGUAGUCCACGCCCUAAACGAUGCUGACUAGUUGUUCGGGAUUUACAUCCUGAGUAACGUAGCUAACGCGUGAAGUCAGCCGCCUGGGGAGUACGGUCGCAAGAUUUAAACUCAACCGGCAAUUGCACGGGGGACCCUGGACCAAGCGCGUGCGAUGACUGUGGCUUCAUUCGAUGCAACG